AUUGAACGCUGGCGGCAGGCCUAACACAUGCAAGUCGAGCGGAUGAAGGGAGCUUGCUCCUGGAUUCAGCGGCGGACGGGUGAGUAAUGCCUAGGAAUCUGCCUGGUAGUGGGGGAUAACGUCCGGAAACGGGCGCUAAUACCGCAUACGUCCUGAGGGAGAAAGUGGGGGAUCUUCGGACCUCACGCUAUCAGAUGAGCCUAGGUCGGAUUAGCUAGUUGGUGGGGUAAAGGCCUACCAAGGCGACGAUCCGUAACUGGUCUGAGAGGAUGAUCAGUCACACUGGAACUGAGACACGGUCCAGACUCCUACGGGAGGCAGCAGUGGGGAAUAUUGGACGAUGGGCGAAAGCCUGAUCCAGCCAUGCCGCGUGUGUGAAGAAGGUCUUCGGAUUGUAGAGCACUUUAAGUUGGGAGGAAGGACAGUAAGUUAAUACCUUGCUGUUUUGACGUUACCAACAGAAUAAGCACCGGCUAACUUCGUG
Molecule: ribosomal RNA, 484 nt
Filed under: uncultured bacterium
Lineage: Bacteria
Description: partial 16S ribosomal RNA
Rfam family: Bacterial small subunit ribosomal RNA
Source: RNAcentral